AGGAUGGAUUAAUGAUUUUCUCUCAUGGAAGGCUUGGAUACCUCUUUGUCGACUAACUUACGGGGCCUACCUGUUUCAUCCUCUUCUCAUGAAUGUCUUCGUUGGAAACACAACCCAUUCAUAUUCUGUCAAUGCAGUCUAUAUUGCUUACUACUUCACAUCGUGCUGUGUAUUCAGUUAUCUCGUCUCGCUCCUCGUAUCACUGGGAUUUGAGAUGCCUCUCGCCAACCUCGAAGGCGUUUUAAAGUAGAUUGCUCCAAAACUCCAGUAGAGGCCCGUUGCAGAAAUUGUAUGAUUGGCUCGAAGCCAAGUUAUGUUUGAUUUCUGGAGUUGAGUUUGAUUGCAACUGUUUUUGAAACAGUACCCUGAAAAAACAAACUUGUUUUUUUUUUAUCAUGAUGGAUUUAUUUUGUAAGAAACCUGUACAAGUGUAAUAAGAGAGAAAUAAAGUAUGUUUAUGCACUGCUUUUUAUUUAUCGCUAAUUUUUGUAUCGUGCUAUUUUAUACGAUUCAAGUAUACUGAAAAAUAUUCACCGAGGUAUAAUGGCUGAAAAGAACAACUCACCUUAUUCUAACUUUCUCUUCAGAAUAUUGUCAUGGAUUCAUAUAUCAAAAUGAUUUUCCCUAUAUGUUAUUGAUCUUUUUUUUCCCAUUUACAAUCGCUCAGACAACCUCAGACAAACAACUCCCAUUUCAUAAACCCUCUCACAGAGGGCAGUGUUUACGUUUGAAAGCCCGCCUUCGUUGGACAUACUGUGUAAGGUUAGACGCACUUUGUUUGAACACUUUGGUCAAGUAAUAUAUUUUUAUUAUGAAAAGAAAUCAUUGUAUAAUUUGAAUAUCACUAUUCAUUAUAUCGAAGAUCAAACUUCAAUCCGUCAUUACACAAAAGAGCAUGGAUAAAUUCGAAUUGUGGGAUGUUAAUAUCCUGCCAAAGGUGAGCAGCUCUGUUUUUAACUUGUGAAUUCCGUUUAGCUAUAUUAACCUUAUAUCGGAGAGUGUCUUCUUUUAUCAAUUAUGUCACAAAACAAACUACAGUACUUCUCGGUAUAUUUAUUCCUCUAUCUAUUAUUUGAAAUGAUUUCAUUUUGUAUAAUUGCACACCAAAGCAAUUUAUCAUGAAUACAGCAUUUCGAUAAAAAAAUGAAUUUUUGAUAAUUAUCAACAUUAUGUCUUUUAUCUUGUAUUUUUUUCCAAAUACCACAUUAGGGUGUUUGCCUUCAAAUUGAGGCCAAGUCUAUAGCCCGUGUCUGACGUCCAGUUUAAUUUGGACUAUGGUCUAACUCUGCUUGUACUAUGGAAACCGAAAAUAUGAACAUUUCGUUUCCAUUUUAUUUUAUAAUUAAUUUGCUCUUUCCUCCUGCUUUAUAAUGCUUAACUCAUGGAAAGCGAAAAUAUCACAAUUUUGCUUGUAUUGAAUUUUGCUAUGAUUAAGUCAUAAGGUGAAUAAAACUAUUAAUUUUCUAUUCCUGAACCAGGUGCCUGGGUAUGAUCCUUGAAGAGGGGGUGUUGGUUUGGAAAAAAAAAAUCGAAUUUGGUCAAAAUUUUACAUUUAUGCGUACCAACCUGAUUUCCUGGGAGGGGGUGGUGUUGCCUAUGGUGUAUAACAACACAUCACCUCUGGGCCAUGUCCCAAACAGUCGUUAAUGAUUUUAAGGUCAAAUCAGCUGGUAAUUGAACAAAAUAAAAUAUUUUUGUCACAGUUGGAAAUCCAUAGAUCAACCACAAUUGUAUACCAGGGGUCUGUUCGUAAGUUAAGAGCGACUUUAAGAACGACCGGUGAUCCUUUCUUACGCACCAAACCAUCACCAAUGAAUCUACCAUUUAACACAAGAAAGGAUCACCAGUCGUUCUCAAAGUCGCUCUUAACAUACGAACAGCUUUAUGAAACACCCAUCAGAGUUAGCAUUAAUCCCAAGUUCAGAAUACGGGCGUUUAAUGUUUGGAGAAAUAUUUAUACUGCGUCAUCUUUAUACCAACUUUUGUCAUCUGACAAAUUGUCGGACCAGACAAAUUUAUUAUCUUAAUUAGCUGAGAAGUACUGCUACUAUAGUAAUUCUCGAAUAUAACAGACAUGCCAUAAAUCCUUACAUUAAACGGUCCACAACCAAGUAUAUAAGUUUUCACUGCAAUCACUGUACAAAACCUGAUAUUUUUCUCGGAUAUUAAAGAAUCACGAAAAUCAUAUUUAUUGGCAUAUGUCAUUUUCCUUAUUCAUCAUCAUUAAUAGUUCAUUAUCGUUAAAAAAUUACCUCGACAAACUCAAAAUUAUGGUGGCUUGGGUUUUUGCCUCAUAAGAGCUUCUACAAACUUUGAGCAUUUAUUUAAUUUAUUGUUUUUGUCUUUCAGUGUAUUCAGUUCUACGAAAUAAAACUAGACAUUUGUAUUAACAA
Molecule: long non-coding RNA, 2393 nt
Organism: Lytechinus pictus (painted urchin)
Lineage: Eukaryota; Metazoa; Echinodermata; Echinoidea; Temnopleuroida; Toxopneustidae
Exons: 2
Source: RefSeq, a predicted model, not a curated record